AUAAUUCAGAGGACUCCGUUAUGCCUUAUUCGGGCAAAAUGACACAGACUUGGAGGUCUACAGAAGAGUGAUGCUACUAUUCCUUACUGUUGUGAAGUGCCUCAUCCUCAAACCUGAAACCCACCUGUAGACCACACCUCUGCACAGCUAAACUGUGCCUUUACUGGGAGCACUCUGAGAAACACAUGCCAGAGUGGCAGUUUAAGCAUAUAAUCCAAGACUUUAAGAAAAGGCGUGCACUUGACUUUGUGCUGGCUCUAUGAUCUGUACAUCAUAUGUUGUCAGUAUUACCAAGAAAUAAUGAUUUGAAGAUCAGCUUAUCUGAAAUCUGCGUUAGUCACUGAUUGAGUCACUGUGGAUGUUUAGGACCUUUCAGUACAUUUGGGCUGCAGCUGUAGGGAGAGAAGCUGCCAUGUGCUGAAUGUAGCAUAACUGUAAUAGGCUGUCCUUUAUCUGUUUCUUCCAAAGCCUCUGUGUGCUUUCGGACCUGACUCGUUGCUAAGUGCUAAUUCAUAUGGUGGGCUAAGGAUCGAGUCUUUGUUCACUGAUCAGGCGCUGCAGCGACUGGGUUUUUUUUUCCUUUUGCAGGUCAUCGCUUCACCAUUAGCAGGGUGGAGAGACAGAGAGAGAGAGGGAGAGAGAGAAAGGGGGCUGGCGAAAUCGAAGCGCUCACGGAUGUCGCGCCUGUCUGUCCAGCCUGCUGCCCCGCUUUCCCGGGCGCUACUAGUGAAGCACUGAAGACGGCGAGCGAGUCGAGGCGCUGGGGGAGUGUCACACGUACAGCACGAUAGUUUUUCUGCCCUGGAUUUUUCUAUCAUUCGCAAGAAACCAACACUCCCAGACGGCGUAGCCAGCGAAGGCUCAGGGCCGCCUCCUCCUCCUCCUCCUCCUCCUCCACCACCACCACCACCACCACCUCCUCCUUCUUCUUCACCGCCGCCGCCUCCGCUUCCACGCCGCUUCCCCUCCUCCUUCAGCCCCUCCGUUUCCUCCGCGACUGUGAGCCGAGAUCCUAGCGGCCGAGGACGGAGACCUUUCCCGGGACUGAGGAUUUUCUCUUGGUUUU
Pygocentrus nattereri (red-bellied piranha) is the source of this 1066-nucleotide long non-coding RNA. The record is from Ensembl. NCBI's taxonomy places the organism in Eukaryota, Metazoa, Chordata, Actinopteri, Characiformes, Serrasalmidae.